This 279-nucleotide ribosomal RNA is filed under the name uncultured bacterium. Its description in RNAcentral is "partial 16S ribosomal RNA". It matches the Rfam family "Bacterial small subunit ribosomal RNA", at positions 506 to 784 of the family's 1533-position model. The record is from RNAcentral.
UGCCAGCCGCCGCGGUAAUACGGAGGGUGCAAGCGUUGUUCGGAUUUAUUGGGCGUAAAGCGCGCGCAGGCGGAUAAUCAAGUCAGAUGUGAAAUCUCGGGGCUCAACCCCGAAACUGCGUCUGAAACUGGUAAUCUAGAAUCUCGGAGAGGGAUGGGGAAUUUCUCAUGUAGGGGUAAAAUCCGUAGAGAUGAGAAGGAACACCAGAGGCGAAGGCGCCAUCCUGGACGAGUAUUGGCGCUGAGGCGCGAAAGCGUGGGGAGCAAACAGGAUUAGAUA